Molecule: ribosomal RNA, 446 nt
Filed under: uncultured bacterium
Lineage: Bacteria
Description: bacterial SSU rRNA
Rfam family: Bacterial small subunit ribosomal RNA
Source: RNAcentral
CACCAGACUCCUACGGGAGGCAGCAGUGGGGAAUAUUGCACAAUGGGGGGAACCCUGAUGCAGCGACGCCGCGUGAGUGAAGAAGUAUUUCGGUAUGUAAAGCUCUCUCAGCAGGGAAGAAAAUGACGGUACCUGACUAAGAAGCCCCGGCUAACUACGUGCCAGCAGCCGCGGUAAUACGUAGGGGGCAAGCGUUAUCCGGAUUUACUGGGUGUAAAGGGAGCGUAGACGGUUCUGCAAGCCAGAUGUGAAAGCCCGGGGCUCAACCCCGGGACUGCAUUUGGAACUGUAAGGCUAGAGUGUCGGAGAGGCAGGCGGAAUUCCUAGUGUAGCGGUGAAAUGCGUAGAUAUUAGGAGGAACACCAGUGGCGAAGGCGGCUUACUGGACAGUAACUGACGCUGAGGCUCGAAAGCGUGGGGAGCAAGCAGGAUUAGAUACCCCAGUA